UACGGAGGGUGCAAGCGUUGCUCGGAAUCACUGGGCGUAAAGGGCGUGUAGGCGGUUUCGUAUGUCUGGCGUGAAAGCCCCGGGCUCAGCCCGGGAAGUGCGCUCGAAACUGCGCGGCUCGAGUGCCGGAGGGGAGAGUGGAAUUCCUGGUGUAGCGGUGAAAUGCGUAGAUAUCAGGAGGAAUACCGGUGGCGAAAGCGACUCUCUGGACGGCAACUGACGCUGAGGCACGAAAGCGUGGGGAGCAAACAGG
Molecule: ribosomal RNA, 253 nt
Filed under: uncultured bacterium
Lineage: Bacteria
Description: partial 16S ribosomal RNA
Rfam family: Bacterial small subunit ribosomal RNA
Source: RNAcentral